AGUGAACGCUGGCGGUAGGCCUAACGCAUGCAAGUCGAACGGCAGCACAGUAAGAGCUUGCUCUUACGGGUGGCGAGUGGCGGACGGGUGAGGAAUACAUCGGAAUCUACUUUUUCGUGGGGGAUAACGUAGGGAAACUUACGCUAAUACCGCAUACGACCUACGGGUGAAAGCAGGGGAUCUUCGGACCUUGCGCGAUUGAAUGAGCCGAUGUCGGAUUAGCUAGUUGGCGGGGUAAAGGCCCACCAAGGCGACGAUCCGUAGCUGGUCUGAGAGGAUGAUCAGCCACACUGGAACUGAGACACGGUCCAGACUCCUACGGGAGGCAGCAGUGGGGAAUAUUGGACAAUGGGCGCAAGCCUGAUCCAGCCAUACCGCGUGGGUGAAGAAGGCCUUCGGGUUGUAAAGCCCUUUUGUUGGGAAAGAAAGGCAGCAGGUUAAUACCCCGCUGUUCUGACGGUACCCAAAGAAUAAGCACCGGCUAACUUCGUG
RNAcentral lists this ribosomal RNA (492 nucleotides) under uncultured bacterium. RNAcentral describes it as "partial 16S ribosomal RNA". It matches the Rfam family "Bacterial small subunit ribosomal RNA", at positions 29 to 507 of the family's 1533-position model. The record is from RNAcentral.